UGUGAUCGGGACGAAAGCCGCAAACAGGCCACUGACCGCCUUGGGCGGAUGGAAAGGCGCGGCAAGUAGGACGAACGUAAGCCAGGAGACCCGGACAAGGCCGAACACUCCA
This 112-nucleotide non-coding RNA is filed under the name Desulfobacterales bacterium. The record is from RNAcentral. Lineage: Bacteria; Pseudomonadati; Thermodesulfobacteriota; Desulfobacteria; Desulfobacterales.